RNAcentral lists this ribosomal RNA (458 nucleotides) under uncultured eukaryote. RNAcentral describes it as "bacterial SSU rRNA". It matches the Rfam family "Eukaryotic small subunit ribosomal RNA", at positions 357 to 815 of the family's 1831-position model. The record is from RNAcentral.
GGGUAACGGGGAAUCAGGGUUCGAUUCCGGAGAGGGAGCCCGAGAAACGGCUACCACUUCCAAGGAAGGCAGCAGGCGCGCAACUUACCCUAAUCUCGAUUCGAGGAGGUAGUGACAAGAAAUACCGAUGCGGGACCCUACGGGUGCCGCGUUCGGAAUGAGUACGAUUCGAACCACCUAACGAGGAACGAUCGGAGGGCAAGUCUGGUGCCAGCAGCCGCGGUAAUUCCAGCUCCAAUAGCGUACGUUAAAGUUGCUGCAGUUAAAAAAGCUCGUAGUUGAACGUUCGGGUUCCGCGGGACGGGGCCGCCCCGCGAGGGACGGCGCCGCCCCGGGGCUCGUGAUAUCUUAUCUCGCCGCCCGUCGCGAGGCGGACGGAGGGAUGGAUGAGGUUACCUGGAAAAAAUCGGGGCGAUCUAGGCGGGCGAACCUCGCCAACGAACGAUCGGACAUGGGAU